GACGAACGCUGGCGGCGUGCUUAACACAUGCAAGUCGAACGGAAAGGCCCCUUUGGGGGUACUCGAGUGGCGAACGGGUGAGUAACACGUGAGUAACCUGCCCUUGACUUCGGGAUAACUUCAGGAAACUGGGGCUAAUACCGGAUAGGAAUCCUUGCUGCAUGGUGGGGGUUGGAAAGCUUCAGCGGUUUUGGAUGGACUCGCGGCUUAUCAGCUUGUUGGUGGGGUAGUGGCUUACCAAGGCUUUGACGGGUAGCCGGCCUGAGAGGGCGACCGGUCACAUUGGGACUGAGAUACGGCCCAGACUCCUACGGGAGGCAGCAGUGGGGAAUAUUGCACAAUGGGCGGAAGCCUGAUGCAGCAACGCCGCGUGCGGGAUGACGGCCUUCGGGUUGUAAACCGCUUUCAGCAGGGGCGAAGCUUGUGGUGACGGUACCUGCAGAAGAAGCACCGGCUAACUACGUG
This 465-nucleotide ribosomal RNA is filed under the name uncultured bacterium. RNAcentral's name for it is "partial 16S ribosomal RNA". It matches the Rfam family "Bacterial small subunit ribosomal RNA", at positions 28 to 507 of the family's 1533-position model. The record is from RNAcentral.